RNAcentral lists this ribosomal RNA (478 nucleotides) under uncultured bacterium. RNAcentral describes it as "partial 16S ribosomal RNA". It matches the Rfam family "Bacterial small subunit ribosomal RNA", at positions 28 to 507 of the family's 1533-position model. The record is from RNAcentral.
GAUGAACGCUAGCGGCAGGCCUAACACAUGCAAGUCGAGGGAGAAGCCCUUUCGGGGGCCGAAACCGGCGCACGGGUGCGUAACGCGUAUGCAACCUACCUUUCACAGGGGGAUAGCCCGAAGAAAUUUGGAUUAAUACCCCAUAAUAUUAUUGGAUGGCAUCAUUUGAUAAUUAAAACUGCGGUGGUGAAAGAUGGGCAUGCGUCCUAUUAGCUAGUUGGAGUGGUAACGGCACCCCAAGGCGACGAUAGGUAGGGGUCCUGAGAGGGAGAUCCCCCACAAGGGAAGAGAGGCGGGGACCACACCCGUGGGGGGGGAGGGGGUGAGUAAUAUGGGUGAGGGGAGGAAGGACUAACCCACCCAGGCGGGGGGAAGAAAGAAUGCGUUUGGGGUUGUAAUCUUUUUUUAUAGGAAAAAAAUAAGGUGUACUUUUAGGUUGAUGACGGUACCAAAUAAAAAAGCACCGGCUAACCCCGUG